Molecule: unclassified non-coding RNA, 391 nt
Filed under: Mycoplasmoides gallisepticum
Lineage: Bacteria; Bacillati; Mycoplasmatota; Mycoplasmoidales; Mycoplasmoidaceae
Description: Mycoplasma gallisepticum 16S-23S ribosomal RNA intergenic spacer
Source: RNAcentral
UAAAAGCAGUUAUUAAGUUUUUUUCUUUAAAGCUUUUGAACUUAAUAACACUUUAAGUUAACCUUAGUAAACAUCAUUAUGUUUACCUUUCAAAGAUCAAAGAACAAUUAUUAAAAUCUUUUUGAUCAGAUAACUAAUAAACUAACUAACUAAAUCAUUGAUGCAUAAUUAACUGCAUUAAUGAUUUUUUUUUAUUAUUUUUACCGCAAAAAAUGCAGAUUUAUCUGUUAAACUAAUGAUUUAAAAAGGCUUUUUUUUAUUAUCAAUCAUUGGUUAUUUUUUACUUGUGAUUUUAGCUUUAAUGUUUAUAAAAAAAUCCAAUGACAAAAGUUUUUUUAGAAAAGGGUUGUGCAAACUGAUUUGUUGUGCUAUAAUCUAUAAGGGUUAUAUA